Long non-coding RNA from Globicephala melas (long-finned pilot whale), 3807 nucleotides. RefSeq lists it as uncharacterized. Lineage: Eukaryota; Metazoa; Chordata; Mammalia; Artiodactyla; Delphinidae. The record is from RefSeq and is a predicted model, not a curated record.
GGCGGCGGUGGUGUAUGCAGGAGGCUGGCUGGAGUGGACCUCCGAUGCACAAAGGCCCUCUGCAGAGACUGGGAUCUGGGGCCUCGGACCUGGUCUCCGAGAUGUCACCGACAACUGCAAAAUUCUUUUCAGUUUUAAGUGGAAGAAUUGUGUUGCCAAAGGCUGAGAAGAGAUGAAAACGUCAUUCAAAAGUGCAUGAAAGGGCUUCCCUGGUGGCGCAGUGGUUGAGAGUCCGCUUGCCGAUGCAGGGGACGCAGGUGUCCAGUUUUCCCAGCACCACUUAUUGAAGAGGAUGUCUUUUCUCCAUUGUAUUCUCUUGUCUCCUUUAUCAGAGGUUGACUGCAAAUAUUGAGCCUAAUUUGGAAGGACAUACCGGUUCUGCAAUGGAGCGUGGAGAGCUGCCUUGAGAGCCACGUGAAGCUGAAGAUGGGCUGGGAAUUCUUUGGCCUUGGUCAUCUCUCCAUCUAUUUCACCUGCUUCUUCCAAUGUCAUGUCCAGCGUGGCGAGAGGCACAACGUGGGGCUAUCAGCUGGGGUUCCGGACCCUGGCUGCCUCUCUCUGAGUCAUCCCCCCACCCCCAGAACUCACCUGUGCCUCGGUUUCCGCACCCCGCAACCGGGGAGGCUAACAUACCCACUGCUGGGGCUGUUGUGGGCAUUAAAUGUGGGCCAAGCAUUAGGAGAACAGGCUCUUGACACACGGGUAGCACUCAGUAGAAUUUAGCAAACAGUUUCUGCCAGAGUCUCGCUCCUCUUUUCAUCUGACUAUCCAGAAUUUUCCUUCAGAACUGCCAAGCUCAUCUACUGUUCUCGAUGACUUACAGCGUGAAGACGAACUUCCGAUUUAAUGGAGAGAAAGGGUCAGAAAAGACAAAAAGCGUGUAAGCACCUGCCGGGCGCCUCCAGUCCGGGUUGCUGUCUCAGGAAGGCACCCGCCUGGCUGCAAUCCAGGCCACCAGCCCUUUGUGACGCACCCCUGACUGCCCACCCCCUCCCUGGCCUCUCACCCCCACGCCGCUAGUUACUCCACUCCCCCGUAUCGGUCUACCUUAGCAGCGGCUUCGACCGCAUGAGAUCUUUAAGGUGUAGACAUGGAUUUAAUCGGGGUCCCUCGGGAAUUCAUGUCUCAGAGAACAGAGUUGAAAAGGGAUCCCCAGAGAGUCCCAUCUGGGGCUGGGUUUUCAGUUCACACGGGCGAGUUUCUUUCUUUUUGGCCUGCGCCAGGGAUGUGCAGAUCCUCCAACAUGAUGCUGUUCUCAGAAAUGCCCGGGAUUGGGGUGACUCAUCUCAGCGGUGGUUGGGAAUAAUCACUGGAGAUGUAAAGUUUAAUUCUGUGUGUCACUUGGAAUUGCUGGGCUCUCUGAGGCUUAAAAAGUAAACCCUAAAUUCUCAUGACAAUGCAGCCCGGGUUUGCUUCUUGCUCUUGUCACAGUCCCAUAAGAUCUGGGGGGCUCUCCUUAAUGGGAGUCCCCAGGUGGCCCCCUUCUGCAACACACCGUCUGAGCCCUUUGCUUCCAGGGGAGGGAGCAGAGGAAUCAGGGCUCCGCCUGGCCCCCCACCCUCCGGAUUGCUAUUGGCGGGACCCAGCCACGUGACCGGCCUGGGCCAGGGCUUGGGGAUGCACGAUGGUUCCUGCCACUGUUUGCUUCGCACUUUUUAACACGAAAGUGCUGCUUUGCUGGCUACAAUGACAUAAGUGUGCGGCAGCCAGGAGGGGAGACAGUGUGUUUGCAGAUUCCCAAAGGAUGAGAAGACCGGCACCAUCAAGAAGUGGGCUGAAGUGUGUCGGCCCCCAGAUUCUUAUGUUGAAGCCCUGAACCCCAGUGUCUCAGGAUGUGACCAUAUUUGGAGAUGGCAUCUUUACAGAGGUGUUUAAAUUAAAUGAGGCCAUUAGGGUUGGCCCUAAUCUAAUGUGACUGGUGUCCUCAUAAGAAGAAGCGAUCAGGACACAGACACACAUGGAGGAUGACCGUGUGAGGACACUGGGAGAAGACGGCUGUCUACCCACCCGGGAGACAGGCCUCAGGAGGAACCAACCUGCUGACCCCUGGAUCUUGGACUCAAGAAUCAGGAGAGAAUGAACUUCGGUUGUUUAAGCCACCUUACCUGUUGUACUUUGUUAUGGCAGCCUGAACAGACAAAUACGCAUCGGAAACAUGGUAGAAUUGCCAAAAUGCUGGCAUCAGCUACGUCAGUUGUGAAAUGUACGUCCUGCUUAUGUCUGCUGAAGAAAAAAACUAGCCGUCAUUCAUUAGGAAAAGAUAAUUUAAAAAGGAAGAGCCACGAGCUCAUGGCUGUGACGCCUCAGUGGCGCCGUCUCCUGGAGAGAAUGUUCUCAGCCUGUGCACAGACAGGUGCUCCCCCAGGUUUGGUUCGUCACACCUUUGUGACUGGUUGUUAUUCUCAAGAACAGGAAGCAGAUACUUGCAGGCAUUUUCACGUUGACCUGGGGGAGACUCAUCGGCCCAGCUUUGCCUCUGUGUCUUGGCUCCCCUGGCCGAGCUGUGCCCUGAGCUGUGUCCGGCGCAGCCCCAGCAUCCAGCCAGCCCAGUGCCCGUUUGGGCUCCAUCUUAGUACUUGGGAUGGUGCCUGCACAGAGCCAGGUCCCUAUGACAUCUGCUGCCUGAAUGAAAGAGCACGAUAUUCCUGACCCCAAGCUUUCCUCACCCCACCCCCAUCCUUAGUGAUCCCAUUAUCCAGCCAUGAAGCUGGCCGGCUGGGACCCGCAGAAUCUCUGUCCAGGGAGACAAGUGCCCGGGGCAGGGGCUUGGAGACAGCUCAGCAGGAGGCGCUGACCCUCCUCAGGACACGGGCACGGCCUCCCGGAGCCUGGUUCUUGCGCUGCUGCCCCAUCCCCCCACUUCCAGCCCAGCUGCGAAGAAUCCAGUCUUCUUUCUUUUGUACCCAGUGGCCCUUUGAGAAUUGAAGAAACCUGCAUGUCCCCCACCCAGGGCGUCAUCAUAGCUCCUGGCUGCGACGUUGAGGAGCAUGGCUUCCGCCGGCCGGGCAUCCGGCGCAGCCUGUCUGUGCAACCGCGAGGUUCCCACGUGCCGAGCCGGGAGGUCUGCUCAGCCAGGGCCCAGCCAGGAGCCCAGAGCGCAGGGAUUCAACGGAGGCGCUGGUUCAGGAGCAUUGGGAAGGCCCAAGGGGUCAUGCGUGUGACCCAGGGACAGGACCUGCAGCGAGACAGGCGUGAGUCUUCAGGACCCAGGAGCUGCGAGAGGAGCCCAUGGGCCUGGGGGCGUCUCUCUUCUGAGCAGGGGCCUCCCCAGCGGCUGCUGGUGCCCCUGUGAGGCACCACGGGCUGGUUCUGCUGAAAGAAGCUGGCGGCCAGCAUCAACUGUGGCCGACGGGACCAGGGGCCAGUGCCUGGGACGAAAGUAACAGGGGCGACGUAUAAAUGUCCUCUCCGCCAGCACCUGCCUCCCCACUGCCCUCACCUGCCUCCCCACCACCCUCCAGGGCCCCAGUUGGCAGAGCCGCACAGGAGGCCGGCUGGCCAGGGGGACGUCAUCGGCGGGGUCCUCACCCAGCAGCCCAGUGUGUGAAAGGGCAGGUGGGAGCCCAGAGACAACAUAUCAGACGGCCAGCACUGGCCUCCCCUUGGCUGGACGCACCCCUCUUACCUGGAUGUACGUCCAGCCCUGGUCGACGAUGGCAACCUGUGAGUGCUUCUGCCUAACGAGAUGCAAUUACCCGUCAGAAAAACAAAGACACUGUCACCUCCUUUUGUUAAAGGGGCGACAAGAUCCCAGCAUCCCGACACGCGUUUCCUGGUGACAGUGGCGGCAUUCAUCUCUGGCAAGUU